RNAcentral lists this ribosomal RNA (2907 nucleotides) under Providencia rettgeri. RNAcentral describes it as "23S ribosomal RNA". It matches the Rfam family "Bacterial large subunit ribosomal RNA". The record is from RNAcentral. Lineage: Bacteria; Pseudomonadati; Pseudomonadota; Gammaproteobacteria; Enterobacterales; Morganellaceae.
GGUUAAGCGACUAAGCGUACACGGUGGAUGCCUAGGCAAUCAGAGGCGAUGAAGGACGUGCUAAUCUGCGAUAAGCGUCGGUAAGGUGAUAUGAACCGUGAUAACCGACGAUUUCCGAAUGGGGAAACCCAGUGCAAUCCGUUGCACUAUCGUUUGAUGAAUACAUAGUCAAACGAAGCGAACCGGGGGAACUGAAACAUCUCAGUACCCCGAGGAAAAGAAAUCAACCGAGAUUCCCCUAGUAGCGGCGAGCGAACGGGGAGCAGCCCAGAGUCUUAAUCAACAUUAGCAUCAGGAGAACGGUCUGGAAAGGCCGGCAGUAAAGGGUGAUAGCCCCGUAUCCGAAGGUGUUAGUGUUGUGAACUCGACGAGUAGGGCGGGACACGUGUUAUCCUGUCUGAAUAUGGGGGGACCAUCCUCCAAGGCUAAAUACUCCUGAUUGACCGAUAGUGAACCAGUACCGUGAGGGAAAGGCGAAAAGAACCCCGGCGAGGGGAGUGAAAUAGAACCUGAAACCGUGUACGUACAAGCAGUGGGAGCACCUUUAGGGGUGUGACUGCGUACCUUUUGUAUAAUGGGUCAGCGACUUAUAUUCUGUAGCAAGGUUAACCGUAUAGGGGAGCCGUAGGGAAACCGAGUCUUAACUGGGCGAAUGAGUUGCAGGGUAUAGACCCGAAACCCGGUGAUCUAGCCAUGGGCAGGUUGAAGGUUGGGUAACACUAACUGGAGGACCGAACCGACUAAUGUUGAAAAAUUAGCGGAUGACUUGUGGCUGGGGGUGAAAGGCCAAUCAAACCGGGAGAUAGCUGGUUCUCCCCGAAAGCUAUUUAGGUAGCGCCUCGUGAACUCAUCUUCGGGGGUAGAGCACUGUUUCGACUAGGGGGUCAUCCCGACUUACCAACUCGAUGCAAACUACGAAUACCGAAGAAUGUUAUCACGGGAGACACACGGCGGGUGCUAACGUUCGUCGUGAAGAGGGAAACAACCCAGACCGCCAGCUAAGGUCCCAAAGUCAUAGUUAAGUGGGAAACGAAGUGGGAAGGCUCAGACAGCCAGGAUGUUGGCUUAGAAGCAGCCAUCAUUUAAAGAAAGCGUAAUAGCUCACUGGUCGAGUCGGCCUGCGCGGAAGAUGUAACGGGGCUAAACUAUGCACCGAAGCUGCGGCAGCGAUAUGUAAAUAUUGUUGGGUAGGGGAGCGUUCUGUAAGCCUGUGAAGGUGUACUGUGAGGUAUGCUGGAGGUAUCAGAAGUGCGAAUGCUGACAUAAGUAACGAUAAUGCGGGUGAAAAACCCGCACGCCGGAAGACCAAGGGUUCCUGUCCAACGUUAAUCGGGGCAGGGUGAGUCGACCCCUAAGGCGAGGCAGAAAUGCGUAGUCGAUGGGAAACGGGUUAAUAUUCCCGUACUGGUGAUAAUUGCGAUGGGGGGACGGAGAAGGCUAGGCUAUCCGGGCGACGGUUGUCCCGGUUUAAGGAUGUAGGCAGGUGAAUUAGGCAAAUCCGGUUCACUACAUGCUGAGGUCCGAUGACGAGUCACUACGGUGAUGAAGUAGCUCAUGCCCCGCUUCCAGGAAAAGCCUCUAAGCUCUAGAUUAUCAUUAAUCGUACCCCAAACCGACACAGGUGGUCAGGUAGAGAAUACUCAGGCGCUUGAGAGAACUCGGGUGAAGGAACUAGGCAAAAUGGUGCCGUAACUUCGGGAGAAGGCACGCUGGCGCUAGGUGAAGUCCCUCGCGGAUGGAGCUGAAGCCAGUCGCAGAUACCAGCUGGCUGCAACUGUUUAUUAAAAACACAGCACUGUGCAAACACGAAAGUGGACGUAUACGGUGUGACGCCUGCCCGGUGCUGGAAGGUUAAUUGAUGGGGUUAUCCGUAAGGAGAAGCUCUUGAUCGAAGCCCCAGUAAACGGCGGCCGUAACUAUAACGGUCCUAAGGUAGCGAAAUUCCUUGUCGGGUAAGUUCCGACCUGCACGAAUGGCGUAAUGAUGGCCAGGCUGUCUCCACCCGAGACUCAGUGAAAUUGAACUCGCUGUGAAGAUGCAGUGUACCCGCGGCAAGACGGAAAGACCCCGUGAACCUUUACUAUAGCUUGACACUGAACAUUGAGCCUUGAUGUGUAGGAUAGGUGGGAGGCUUUGAAGCGUGGACGCCAGUCUGCGUGGAGCCAACCUUGAAAUACCACCCUUUAAUGUUUGAUGUUCUAACGUAGCCCCGUUAUCCGGGGUGCGGACAGUGUCUGGUGGGUAGUUUGACUGGGGCGGUCUCCUCCCAAAGAGUAACGGAGGAGCACGAAGGUUGGCUAAGCAUGGUCGGACAUCAUGCGGUUAGUGCAAAGGCAUAAGCCAGCUUGACUGCGAGAGUGACGGCUCGAGCAGGUACGAAAGUAGGUCUUAGUGAUCCGGUGGUUCUGAAUGGAAGGGCCAUCGCUCAACGGAUAAAAGGUACUCCGGGGAUAACAGGCUGAUACCGCCCAAGAGUUCAUAUCGACGGCGGUGUUUGGCACCUCGAUGUCGGCUCAUCACAUCCUGGGGCUGAAGUAGGUCCCAAGGGUACGGCUGUUCGCCGUUUAAAGUGGUACGCGAGCUGGGUUUAGAACGUCGUGAGACAGUUCGGUCCCUAUCUGCCGUGGGCGUUGGAAGAUUGAAAGGGGCUGCUCCUAGUACGAGAGGACCGGAGUGGACGCACCACUGGUGUUCGGGUUGUCAUGCCAAUGGCAUUGCCCGGUAGCUAAGUGCGGAAGAGAUAACCGCUGAAAGCAUCUAAGCGGGAAACUUGCCUUGAGAUGAGUCUUCCCUGACUCUUUAAGAGUCCUAAAGGAACGUUUAAGACUAAGACGUUGAUAGGUUGGGUGUGUAAGCGUAGCGAUACGUUGAGCUAACCAAUACUAAUGAACCGUGAGGCUUAACCUG